This 537-nucleotide long non-coding RNA is filed under the name Cyanistes caeruleus (blue tit). RNAcentral describes it as "lncRNA (ENSCCEG00000000976.1)". The record is from RNAcentral. Lineage: Eukaryota; Metazoa; Chordata; Aves; Passeriformes; Paridae.
CUGUAUUUCCUUGAAAAUUUAUGUUCUUUAGUAUGUGCAAAAGGAUGAUAAACUUCCAGAAACUUCACCUAUUUGGAAAAGGUAGCAACUUCUUUCAAACCAUGAAGGAGAUGCUCAGCAGAAUGCUGUAUAGCCUGGAUUAACAGUUAAUGUGUUUGUGUUGGUAAGAGCUUGGGAAAACAAGUGACUCCACUGAUGCUGACAGAAGUCUAAUUCCCUGAUCAGAGAUGUAAGUGAUGAGAAGCAUGUUCUCUGCAUGCAACUGACAAACAAGUGUGACCACACUCCAUACUGGAUAUUGUGUUUAUGCUCCUCCAGUGCAGUAAUGACAGAGAAACCAUAAGUAAUCAAGACACACUGUGCAUUCCAGGAGAAACUGCCACUUGCUCAUGUCUGGCUUCAUCCUGUAAAGCGGAAAACAGCAGCGAUUGUGUGACUCUAUUCAAGUGCUAUGUGUUGUUCUGCAUCUUUCUUCUCUGCACCCCAAACUAAAAACUUUCAAAUAAAAAUAACUGAAAAACAGAAUAUUGUAUUCCU